UUUUUUAUAUAGUUGAUCUAUUUAAUGAUUUUAUUUACACAGUAUUUAUUGCACACAUUGGUUUUUUAUUUAUUGCUGUUUUGAUCAAUCAGUGGAUUGAUGGACUUUUUAUUUGCUGAUUGGCCUAAUUAUUUAUUUGCUUGCUAUUUAUUUUAGUUAUUUAUUUGCUUGGUUGCUUGCUAGUCUCUUGAUCUGAUUAUUCCCUUUCUUCAUUAUUGGUGGUGGUAUUUAUACAUACUUAUUGACUUAUUUAUUGCACAAUUUAUAUAUUGGCCUCUUGAUCUGUUCAUUGCCUUUUUACAUAUCAGGGUAUUGAUUUACAUUAUUUACCUGCUGGCUUAUUUAUUUUCAUUUUUACCAGCCUGCUCAUUUAUUUGGUUGUUUAGUUAUUUAUUGUCUUCAUGGUAGAUGUAAUGAUUUAUUUGCUUAUUUAUGCACUACUUUAUUUAUUGUCUUCAUCUACAUGAUUAUUUCAUUUACUCAUUCACUAUUUAUCUGGUUAAUUAUCUAUAUAUAUAUACCUAUAUCAUUUAUUAUUAGGUUCUUAUUGUUUUUCUAAUAUAUUUAUUGUCUUCAUUUAUUUAUUGAAUUAGUGAUUUAAGAUCUUUAUAUAUUGGAUAGUUAUGUUUUAUGUGGAAUGGUUAUUUACUAUAUUUAGUUCUAUGAAACCCUGGAUCUCACUCUUAUUCUGAAACUGUUAUGAUCAGUUUUUGUCUCUGCAUUUACUGUUUAUUUACAUAUUUAUUUAAUUAUAUUUUGAUGCUGUGGAUUGAACGCUAGGGCCUUGUAUCCUGUCAUUAUACAAUUACUUGUAUACUUGUAUACAAUUCCAUUAUACAAUUAAUUGUAUACAGUGUACAAUUAAUUGUAUACUGUCCAUAAUUUUAAUUUUUAAUUUUGUGAUUUUGUUUUGUUUUGUUGUUCAUUCAUCUUUGGUCUUGUAAAAUAACUCUGUAAAACUCAGUAUUCCUGCCUCUGCCUCCCAAGUGUGGGACUACAGUCAUGCAUUAUUGCAUUACUCCUAUCUAGCAGAUUCAUUUAAUUAUUGAGACUGAUGCAGAUACUCUGAUAGACACAGGACCUACUGCAUCUAACUAGGGAACUAACCAUACUCUUAGCCUAGACACUUAACAUUUUUUUCAUUGCUGGUAAUUUAGCCCAGAAUCUUGUUUAUGUGAAGGAAUUAUUGUCACUGAACCAUAACUCUAAACUUUGAGUGUCUUUCUAAAUCAGGACCCUCACUGUCUUUCCUACCACACCAUUACCAAGUGCCCACAACCACAUACCUAACAUUAAAAUUGUUACCUAGUUUUUAGAACAUACCUUGUCAAGGACCUUGGCUGGAUUUAUGAUGAGCUGUGUUUACUGAGCAUGAUGAAAUGAGGCUCAAAGUGAUGAUUACUCUGAAAUCUAGCCAAAGUGUCAGUUUAAUGACUUAGGUAACAAAGUUAAUUUAUUCCCAAGGAGACUGGAGCUGUAGAUCUUUUCACUCUUACAAACUUGGUUUUUUACCUAUUUCAUUCCCUGUUGUAAAGUGCCUCCAUAUUCCCAUCCUGCUUUCACUCUGCUUUCCUUCUGUAUGUAGAAACCUGAGAAAAAUAAUGGAAGCUAAUGUCUUUCUUCCAGUCAUCAAGUUCUUACCCUCUAUAAUAAUUUCUGGAGCAUGUUCUUAGUCAUUCUCAAUUUUCAAUUCACUAUAUUGAGAUAUUGCUAGUAAGAUACUCAUUGAUAUUUUUUAAUGAGAUAUUUAGAGAAUGCUGAGGGUGAAUCCAGAGAAGGUAUUGUAUAUUUAUCCUCACAGUGCAUUUCAAUAGAGUGUUAAUUUGAUAAACAAAGGGUUUAAAUUAACUCUGAUUCCUGAUAUUGAGUAUGGGUAAAACAUCAGUUAGUUUUGUUUUGGGGCAGUAAGAUAACUUAUUCAUAUUUUCAAACACUUGAUUUGGCAGAGUCUGGAAGAUUACAUCCAUACCAGGUGUUUUUGUUCCUCAUGAGCUUUCUUUUUGUAUAAUAGUUACUGCUGUAGUAUUUUCUUACUGUGGAAAAUUCUCAUGCCUUUGUUAGAUUUACUUCUGAAUCUUUGCAUAUCUGCUUGAAGGUACAACAAGUAGAUAUUUUACAACUGUAAAAUAUAACUGAUACAAUAAAUAUAUACUAACUUAUUGGAUAAUUUAGUUAACAGAGAUUGAUUAGUUAACAUUGAUUUUUGAUUGAUAACGUAUUAUCUUACAUGGUUCGGUGUCAAACCAGAAAAAUAAUGUUAUUGUACUUUAUUUUUUUGUUUAUUUAGUAAAAUAUUAAGAAUAGGGUAUGUGUAAAGGUUUUUCAAAUGAUUGCUGUGAUAAAAGAACUUAAUACAAGGUAAAAUUUCUGUUACUUGGUAAAAUCAUUUCAUAAAAAUAAUGGAAACAAGUGAAUUUUAUGAUUAUGUUGUAGUGGCUAAGGAUAGUGUGAAACAAGGGAUUAUGAGAAGUGCAACAAUUAUAGAUUGGGAAAUUACAUAUGGAGUUAUUCAAGUAUGAUUAUUUCAUGCCAUCUUGAUCCUAAGAUCACAAAUCACAUAUAUAUUUUAAUAGUUUUAGAUGUAAAAAUAGACUUUCUAGUUUAAGGUCUCAUUUUAUUGGAUUCUUUUAGCUGUUCUUUCAGUGAACACUCACUUGGUAACAUUACUAACCAAGUAAGGAUGCUUUAUAUAUAGUAGUCAUGUUUAUGUUUAUGGGUCAGAGAGGCUUAGCCUAAUUUUAGUAACAAGAUGGACAUUGCCCUGUUAUAACAUCUAGGAUUGACAGUACACAUCUACACAUAAUAGAAUAAUGCACCAUGUUAUUUUAACUUUAUGAAGAAUAAUGAUGAUAUUUUGCAUUUGAAGACAAUUAAACUACUAGAAUGACUUGGAUUUCUGGACUCAUUUAGGGCCAUAGUAAGGAUAUAAUAAGAGGGUACAAUUUAAGUGAUGAUCUAUGUCAUGGCUUUACCCAAAUAAGAAGUAAUUUGUGAAUGAAUCUGAAGGUUUUUAACUUUAUGGUAGGAAAGUUGUCUAUGAACAUAAAACAUGGCUUUAUGCUGUGUUUAAAGAGGUGUGGUUAUAUAGUGUAGAGACUACUACCCAACACACAUGAUGGUCUAUUAUGCCAUUGUGUAUCUAAAAGAUCUAGCAAGGUAGAUAUGUAAUGGAAAAUUUCUGUUUACUCUUUUCAGAUGUGUUUUGUAUAAAAUAUGUGCAUAUUCUAAAUAACCAUUAUCAUUUAAAACCAUAAGUCAUUUGUAUAUAUAAAAUUAUUUUUCUUAGACAUUUGUAUCACUUCUUUAUUAACAUUUAUAGGGGUUUUAUUACAUGAAAUAAAUGAAAUGUAAAAUUUCUGAUGUUCUUAAUGUAAUAGUGUUUGUCCCAUGUAUUUACAUGUAUGUGAAUACUGUUUUAUAUACAUUAACUCAUGAGUAACUGUACUUGAUUAAAACAAUAGUCACUUAAAUGCAAGAUCACAACUUUUGGUUUCACCUGCGAUUAUUAUAUGGUUUCGUAAGUGGUAAGAUAACAGCAAUGUUUUUCCGUUUAUUCAUUGUGAACUGAGAAAUGUUACGGGCCAACAUUGUUUUUAAUUGGAAUUGCUGUAUCAGACAGUUAUAGUUAUCAAACACACAUUCAUCAGUCAUAUUUUUACAUAUUAAAUCAGUGAGCUACAUAAGAUUUGAUCACCAUCUCACUGUUUACAUGUUUGAGACUUCGCAUAGUAUAGUGCAGACUUUCUAACCCAUCCCGUCAAAUUCUCAAUUUGUUUUAUUCAUUUUAAAAAAAAAUUCUGAUGUCACGGUAUUUAACUACUGCUGAAAUAAUAGUCUAACUGUGUAGAGUGUCUGAAAUUCUUACAUUUGUAGAAACACCAUCAACUGCCAUAUGCGCAUGGUGUUAUUAAUAUCUGAGUCUUAAUAGUAUCAUACUAUUUUGUACUUAAUUUAUAUUAGGUUUAUUUGUGUAUAUAUAGAAACAUUGUGUAUAUAUAGAGAUACUUUUAUGUAUGUUCAGAUACAUCCGCCUAUGUAUAUAAUUUUUAUUCCAUUUUCUGAAUGUGUAAUACUCUUAAAAUUUAAAUUCUUUUUAGUGUUUAAAAAGUACUAUAAUGUGUCAUGUAUUUAGUGAAUUUAUGUUAAAAAUUUCAGAAAUAGUUGUUAACACAUGUAUUAAGAAAAAAAUUGUGUUUAAAACAGUUGACCUAUAAUAGUCAAGAUUUUAAAAUGUAUAUGGUUUGUAGGAAAAGAGAAAUUAUUUUGCUAAAUACUCAUAGGGUUCAUUUAGUGAUGUGGUAUUCAUUUGAGUGAUGUUGAAUUACCUAAACAUUGUUAACAAAGGGAUACUUUUAAUGUGUGUUUACAUAUAACUUAUAGAAAUGUAAAAUACAAUAUAUUUUUAUAAAUAUAUUGAGUGUAUAGUCUACCAUGCUGUCUUUUCAGAUACUAAGUUAUGAGUAUAACUCAAGUAUAAGAGUUAAGGUGGCACUGUUUUUUGAAAAUUAUGUAUGCUGUAUGUAUUUUUCUGGCCACAGAUAUUUGUGCAUAUUUUUCCAAAAGAUACCUCAGAAUUACAUAGGUAUAUAUAUCCAUCUGAUACCUGGCAAAAUGUAACUUUGUAAAUAAUGAGCUAUUUUUAUCAAACAGCUUGUAUUUUUAGAGGUGUAAAUAUGAUGUAAAUAUCAGUCUUUUAUAUUUUAUAUGAUCACGGAGCUCAGUGUUUCAUAUUUGUCUGAAUGCCGAGGAGAAAGUUAAACACUGCAUUUUUCUACUCCAUCCUCCGUGUAGCCUGGUUGACCUUUCUACUUUUUGUCAAAUUUCAUGAACAUUUUGUACUACCUCUUAGGACACUGCAAAGUUUUGUAUGUGUUUCCUGGUUGCAUGACAAUAUUCAAGACAACUUUGUAAAUAAUAGUGAAAUACAGCAUUUGAAGUCUUGUCUGUCUAGAUGGAGAGAGUGCUACAGGAUAUAAUUUUGUGAGUACAUCAUUGGAAACCUUCGUUUUAUGUUUAUUACUUAUUGAUGGUAGAGUAAUAAGAUUUAAUUUAACUUUGGCUACUUAACUCAAGAUAAGUCAUCAUAUCCCAUAGGAUAAGUAAGGCUUAUUGUACAUGUAAGGGCAUAAAUCUUCAUUCUGUUCCUCUAGUAAUGAUAGACUAGUAAUAGUAAUAGACUAGUUUCUUCUACCUCUUUGAAUUAAUACAUUAUUAUAUUCACAUUGCAUGACAGCUUUCAAGACAAUUUGUAAAUAACUGAUACAUCUUUCCAUUUGAAAAAUUCAUUUUCAGAUGCAUAUUCAUAAAAAAGUAUAAACCUGUAAAUAUUACAUUGUAAUCUAACAUUAAUAAAGCAUUGUAGCAAAUGCUUUUUUCAAGGAAAAUAUAAAUACUACUCAGUAAAUAAAAUAAGAUGCCUUUUCAAGGCAAAAAGAAAUAUUACUCAAUAAAUAAAUAAAAUUCUGAGUAAGCUAUUUAAUUUUUGCCUGGAGAAAAAUUACAUAAAAGUUAGACAGUUUUAUUUUCAUGAAGAAAGAUGUAUAGUGAACAAGUAACUCAAAUUUUGAAUUAGUUUGAGAGUUGAUAAAAGCAUUGUUUCUUGACUCUAAGGAAGGCACAUUUGUUUUUCAUAUGUAAUUAUAUUUUUUCACAUACAUUAUUAGCAAUGUGUAAUAUUUGAUUUUACAAAUUAUAAAAUAACUAUUUUAUUUCUAGUUCAGAUGAGUCUGCAAUCUCAGUGCUAUUACUGGAUACAUUUUUUUGGUAAUAAAGAGCCUAUAACUUUGUAAAUUUAUAAAAUUUUUGCUUUCUGAGAUGGUUUCAAUACAUAAAAGUUUAAAAAUUGUUUAAUAUUUAUAUAUUUUUCAUCUGAGAUUAUUAAAGUUGGAUAUUUAAUGUGUCCUCUGAAGUACUUUAAGAAAAAGUAGGCUGUAUGAUAUAUAAAGCAAUAUUAUUUAAGAAGUAGAGUUUGGCUGCAUACGGAACACAAACUAGCACCUUCCAAGAAAGACCUUGCCCAGCUACGCACCAAUUUGAGACAUCCUGGCCUAUCAAGACACUGUCAGCAGAAAGCAUGGAAGCAGAAGAACUGAAUCCCUCCUUAUAGGAACAAAAGGAUAAGAAUAUGUACUUUAUCAUUUGCUUCUCAAAUUUAUUUUUAUUAUUUGUUGAAUAUAACAAAAGGUCUGUAGCUUAAGAUCAUUUAUUAUAAUAUAACAUUUGAAAUGCUGUUCUUCAAUAGAAGUGGGGUUUGUGGUAUUGUAAUUGAAGAAAAGAACAAAUUGCAUAGAUACAUUUUAGUUCUUCGAACUAAGGUAUAUACUUAAGAAUACUACUAAUAAUAAUAUGGUAGUAAUUGAUUUGUUCAAUUCAUUUACGAUAGACAAUGUAUAUCUCCUUUGAGAUUGCCCAAUGAAAGCACCUCUAAUAAGUGAAAAAAUUAGGGAAACAGAAAACAUGUUCUGGGAAUGUUAAAUUUUUACUACCUCUAAAGAGUAAGGAGUAAGACAAUUUCUAUCUGUCCUCGUGUGUUUUAAGGCCAUUGCAGAAAAUGCUUAACAACAAGAAAUAGACUUUUCUUUUCCCAGUAGCUUUGAUUGUCGACAUCCAGGGAAUGCUGAGUUGCCUUCUCCCAAAGUUCUGUUUUUGAAUGUUUUUGUGAAGAAUUCUAGACACUCGAGGAUCUCAUGUGACAGCAAAGAGUAUUGCAUUAGCCACGAUGUCCGCACGACAGAUUUCUUAAAUCUACGUUUGAUCAACUUUUGGAGUCGAAGAAAAAUUGCUUCCCUAAAGUGUUAUCUGCAACCUAGAGGUCCAGGAAGGUGCGCAACGAGACUAGGCUCCCACAAAGCCAGUACAUGCAG
Long non-coding RNA from Myodes glareolus (Bank vole), 6863 nucleotides. RefSeq lists it as uncharacterized. The record is from RefSeq and is a predicted model, not a curated record. Lineage: Eukaryota; Metazoa; Chordata; Mammalia; Rodentia; Cricetidae.